Molecule: ribosomal RNA, 374 nt
Filed under: uncultured bacterium
Lineage: Bacteria
Description: bacterial SSU rRNA
Rfam family: Bacterial small subunit ribosomal RNA
Source: RNAcentral
GACGAACGCUGGCGGCGUGCUUAACACAUGCAAGUCGAACGGUAAGGCCCCUUCGGGGGUACACGAGUGGCGAACGGGUGAGUAACACGUGAGCAACCUGCCCUUGACUCCGGAAUAACAGCUGGAAACAGCUGCUAAUACCAGAUACGACUCGAUGCGACAUCGCAUCGAGUGGAAAGCCCUGGCGGUCAAGGAUGGGCUCGCGGCCUAUCAGCUUGUUGGUGAGGUAACGGCUCACCAAGGCUUCGACGGGUAGCCGGCCUGAGAGGGCGACCGGCCACACUGGGACUGAGAUACGGCCCAGACUCCUACGGGAGGCAGCAGUGGGGAAUAUUGCACAAUGGGCGAAAGCCUGAUGCAGCAACGCCGCGUGC